This is a long non-coding RNA of Gossypium arboreum, 429 nucleotides long. RefSeq lists it as uncharacterized. The record is from RefSeq and is a predicted model, not a curated record. Lineage: Eukaryota; Viridiplantae; Streptophyta; Magnoliopsida; Malvales; Malvaceae. The transcript has 2 exons.
AUCUUCAUUUGAAAAGAAAUCAGUUGCUCUCUCUCAUUCCCUCUCUCUCGCCCCCUAGCCAGAGUUAAAGUCCGGUGAACAAGCCGCCAUAUGCCCCGCCGGUCGCCGUCGCCGGCCACCGCACGCGAUGGCUGGAUUUCCGAAGGCAAACGGUGGUGGAGGCAAGUGCUAUUUGUACUAUCAAUGCAACUAAGGCAGUAGAAUUAGGUGAUUUAGGGUUUCUUUUUCUUUUUCUUUUUUUAUUUUGUUUUGGGUAUUGGGCUAAUUGGGCUAGGGUUAGGUAUUAGGUUUGGGUUUAGUGGGUUAUUUAGUUUAAUUGGGCCUGCAAAUUGGGCGUGUACAAAAUUAAUUAUACAACAAAAAAAUCAAAUAAACCAAUAAUGAUUAAUUAUAAACUAAUAAUAUAACUUCAAAGUUAGAAUAAUAUAA